RNAcentral lists this ribosomal RNA (1472 nucleotides) under Lactococcus lactis. It matches the Rfam family "Bacterial small subunit ribosomal RNA". Lineage: Bacteria; Bacillati; Bacillota; Bacilli; Lactobacillales; Streptococcaceae. The record is from RNAcentral.
UUUGAGAGUUUNAUCCUNGCUCAGGACGAACGCUGGCGGCGUNCCUAAUACAUGCAAGUUGAGCGCUGAAGGUUNGUACUUGUACCGACUGGAUGAGCAGCGAACGGGUGAGUAACGCGUGGGGAAUCUGCCUNNGAGCGGGGGACAACAUUUGGAAACGAAUGCUNAUACCGCAUAAAAACUUUAAACACAAGUNNNAAGUUUGAAAGAUGCAAUUGCAUCACUNAAAGAUGAUCCCNCGUNGUAUUAGCUNGUUGGUGAGGUNAAGGCUCACCAAGGCGAUGAUACAUAGCCGACCUGAGAGGGUGAUCGGCCACAUUGGGACUGAGACACGGCCNNAACUCCUACGGGAGGCAGCAGUAGGGAAUCUUCGGCAAUGGACGAAAGUCUGACCGAGCAACGCCGCGUGAGUGAAGAAGGUUUUCGGAUCGUAAAACUCUGUUGGUAGAGAAGAACGUUGGUGAGAGUGGAAAGCUNAUNAAGUNACGGUAACUACCCAGAAAGGGACGGCUAACUACGUGCCAGCAGCCGCGGUAAUACGUAGGUCCCNAGCGUUGUCCGGAUUUAUUGGGCGUAAAGCGAGCGCAGGUGGUUUAUUAAGUCUNGUGUAAAAGGCAGUGGCUNAACCAUUGUAUGCAUUGGAAACUGGUAGACUNGAGUGCAGGAGAGGAGAGUGGAAUUCCAUGUGUAGCGGUGAAAUGCGUAGAUAUAUGGAGGAACACCGGUGGCGAAAGCGGCUCUCUGGCCUGUNACUGACACUGAGGCUNGNAAGCGUGGGGAGCAAACAGGAUUAGAUACCCUNGUAGUCCACGCCGUAAACGAUGAGUGCUAGAUGUAGGGAGCUAUAAGUNCUCUGUAUCGCAGCUAACGCAAUAAGCACUNCGCCUNGGGAGUACGACCGCAAGGUUGAAACUCAAAGGAAUUGACGGGGGCCGCACAAGCGGUGGAGCAUGUNGUUUNAUUCGAAGNAACGCGAAGAACCUNACCAGGNNUNGACAUACUNGUGCUNUUCCUAGAGAUAGGAAGUUCUUCGGGACACGGGAUACAGGUGGNGCAUGGUNGUCGUCAGCUCGUGUCGUGAGAUGUUGGGUNAAGUCCCGCAACGAGCGCAACCCCUNUUGUUAGUUGCCAUCAUUAAGUUGGGCACUCUAACGAGACUGCCGGUGAUNAACCGGAGGAAGGUGGGGAUGACGUNAAAUCAUGAUGCCCCUUAUGACCUNGGCUACACACGUGCUACAAUGGAUGGUACAACGAGUCGCGAGACAGUNAUGUNNAGCUNAUCUCUNAAAACCAUNCUCAGUUCGGAUUGUAGGCUGCAACUNGCCUNCAUGAAGUCGGAAUCGCUAGUAAUCGCGGAUCAGCACGCCGCGGUNAAUACGUUCCCGGGCNUNGUACACACCGCNCGUNACACCACGGGAGUUGGGAGUACCCGAAGUAGGUUGCCUNACCGCAAGGAGGGCGCUUCCUAAGGU